RNAcentral lists this ribosomal RNA (439 nucleotides) under uncultured bacterium. RNAcentral's name for it is "partial 16S ribosomal RNA". It matches the Rfam family "Bacterial small subunit ribosomal RNA", at positions 339 to 795 of the family's 1533-position model. The record is from RNAcentral.
CUACGGGGGGCUGCAGUGGGGAAUUUUGCGCAAUGGGGGAAACCCUGACGCAGCAAUACCGCGUGAGUGAAGAAGGCCUUUGGGUCGUAAAGCUCUUUUCUUGGGGAAGAUAGUGACGGUACCCAAGGAAUAAGCACCGGCUAACUCCGUGCCAGCAGCCGCGGUAAUACGGAGGGUGCAAGCGUUGUUCGGAUUUACUGGGCGUAAAGGGCACGUAGGCGGCACAGCAAGUUAAGGGUGAAAUCCCGGGGCUCAACUCCGGAAUUGCUCUUAAAACUGCUGAGCUAGAGAUAGUCGGAGGCGGGUGGAAUUCCAGGUGUAGAGGUGAAAUUCGUAGAUAUCUGGAGGAACACCGGUGGCGAAGGCGGCCCGCUGGGGCUAUUCUGACGCUAAGGUGCGAAAGCGUGGGGAGCAAACGGGAUUAGAUACCCUGGUAGUC